ACUGGUGGUUGGAGCGGCGGGGAAAUACCCGGUCCCAUUCCGAACCCGGUCGUCAAGCCCGCCAGCGCCGAUGGUACUCGAGGGGCAACCCUCCGGGAGAGUAGGUCAUCGCCAGCC
This 117-nucleotide ribosomal RNA is filed under the name Chloroflexota bacterium. Lineage: Bacteria; Bacillati; Chloroflexota. The record is from RNAcentral.